Ooceraea biroi (clonal raider ant) is the source of this 1454-nucleotide long non-coding RNA. RefSeq lists it as uncharacterized. NCBI's taxonomy places the organism in Eukaryota, Metazoa, Arthropoda, Insecta, Hymenoptera, Formicidae. The record is from RefSeq and is a predicted model, not a curated record.
UGAAUGUAAUUUAUAAAAUAAUAAAUAAUGUGAAAGGGCAAUAUUAUAUUAACUUAUUAAAGUGCUUCUCCAUUGUGAUUUCAUUCAUUAGAGCAUAUAUACGAGUUCGAUUACAUUCUAAGUUCAAGUAGCAUAUUAAGAUUUAUGGAUAUGCCAAUUUAGCCUAAUAUCAAACCUAUUACGAUCCAGUCAAUAGGACCAAAGCUAUUACAACCGUACAAUGUUCAGCUUCGUAGAUCGCCCUACAUGGUAGAUGCGCAUACACGAGCAUCCGUUAGACUGCAUGUCCGUUAGACUCAAUAGAAUAUCAUGGAGAGAUAAUAGUACACCAUGGCUAUACGGGCAUUAGGUUGGAUCAAAAUUGCAAAUCAACCAGAUCUUCGCCAAGUUAAAUUACUUACAAUUAGUCAUAUCUCAAAACGACUUGUUUAAAAUAAUACUGUAAGCAAUAAAAAGAAUGAUCAUUGACAUCUCGGAAAUUUUGCAGAUACAUAAAGUUUCGGUCAGAUUUCCCGUGAAAUUAAUCGAUCGAUGAAAAUUUAAUCGCGAAGAAUAUUUAAGAUCACGAUGAUUCUCGUAAAUGAAAAGUUUCUACUAAAGUUAAAUUGUAGCUGUUUUUCUCGAGUAAUUGUGAUCUGGAAGGAAAAAGACUCCCGGUAAGCCCUUUACAUACUGCAAGAGCGGUAUCGCGGCACCUCGAAUAAUUAUUUUUAAAGCAGGCACAACGCAGUUAUGCAAAGGAGGCCACGCAAGAAGGGACGAGGAGAACGAGGGACGCUAAAGAGGAUCGAAAGCUUGAAGUAGGUCAGUAACGCUCGACGUGUAUGACUGCCUGCCUGUUGGGCUUUUCCCUCUACGGUGUCUACUCCUGCGGACGUGCUCGUCCUUGAUCCCGGCGCGCACCCUCCGAGAACGGGAGCGAGAAUAACGUUCAACCGUCCGUAGAAGUAUCUGCAAUGUUACUUAUGUUCUCACCAUGACGACAUCGACACGCUAUUGACGACUCCACGUGUGUCUUUUCCUAUCAAUAAAAGAAUCCAUUGUUCUACGCUACUUAUGGGGCACCCCGGGGGCUGCUUCCUGAUCCGGAAGGAACAACGAAAGGAGAACCGAUAACGUCAAUGCGCGCACCACGCAGCUUUUCUCGCGUGUUUCGGUCGGACCACACACUGUGUACUGAGUGCCUCUAAAUGCAACCUAUUUACUCACCGCACCGCCUACAGGAUAUCUCGGGGAGAAAUGACUACCACUCUAACAAGACGUAAUGUAUACGUUUUCAGAAGAUUGUUCUUUUCCGCUAUUGUAACCGGUCGCGCCAAGGGACGUCUAGCACUUGCCUUUGCUCUCUUUUUCUCUUUAUCAUUUUACUGUUAACAUUUUUUUACGAUAACGUUAUCGAUAUAUUUCGCAUCGGAUUAUCGGAUUAAUCACUGAUCUUUUAAAAAUAAUAAAAA